GAUGAACGCUGGCGGCGUGCCUAAUACAUGCAAGUCGAGCGAACAGACGAGAGUGCUUGCUCUCUUCGACGUUAGCGUGGGACGUGUGAGUUACACGUCUGUAACUUACCUAUAUCACUGGGACUACUUCGGGAAAUCGUAGCUAAUACCCGAUAAUGUUUAGCUUGGGAUGUAUUAAUAGCUAAAGACCUUUCUUGUGUCUAUUAUAGAUGGACUCGCGGUGUAUUAGCUAGUUGGUGAGGUAACGGCUCACCAAGGCAACGAUACAUAGCCGACCUGAGAGGAUGAUCAGCCACACUGGGACUGAGACACGGCCCAGACUCCUACGGGAGGCAGCAGUAGGGAAUAUUCCGCAAUGGACGAAAGCCUGACGGAGCAAUGCCGCGUGAGUGAAGAAGGUUUUCGGAUCGUAAAACUCUGUUGUAAGGGAAGAACAAGUACGUUAGUAACUGAACGUACCUUGACGGUACCUUACCAGAAAGCCACGGCUAACUACGUG
RNAcentral lists this ribosomal RNA (499 nucleotides) under uncultured bacterium. RNAcentral's name for it is "partial 16S ribosomal RNA". It matches the Rfam family "Bacterial small subunit ribosomal RNA", at positions 28 to 507 of the family's 1533-position model. The record is from RNAcentral.